Fukomys damarensis (Damara mole-rat) is the source of this 107-nucleotide small nuclear RNA. The record is from Ensembl. NCBI's taxonomy places the organism in Eukaryota, Metazoa, Chordata, Mammalia, Rodentia, Bathyergidae.
GUGCUCACUUCAGCAGCACGUAUACUAAAAUUGGAGCGAUACAGAGAAGAUUAGCGCGACCCCUGCACAAGGAUGACACGCAAAUUCUUGAAGUGAUCCAUAUUUUU